This 29-nucleotide small RNA is filed under the name Bombyx mori (domestic silkworm). Its description in RNAcentral is "ovarian small RNA-13660". The record is from RNAcentral. Lineage: Eukaryota; Metazoa; Arthropoda; Insecta; Lepidoptera; Bombycidae.
CCCCCCAUGAAUGGGUCCAGGGGCGAGGU